RNAcentral lists this ribosomal RNA (253 nucleotides) under uncultured bacterium. Its description in RNAcentral is "partial 16S ribosomal RNA". It matches the Rfam family "Bacterial small subunit ribosomal RNA", at positions 524 to 776 of the family's 1533-position model. The record is from RNAcentral.
UACGUAGGCAGCGAGCGUUGUUCGGAAUUACUGGGCGUGAAGAGUGUGUAGGCGGUGCUCCCAGUCUGUUGUGAAAUCUCCCGGCUUAACUGGGAGGGUGCAGCGGAAACUAGAGUGCUAGAGGGUGGGAGAGGUAAGCGGAAUUCCUGGUGUAGCGGUGAAAUGCGUAGAUAUCAGGAGGAACACCUGUGGUGUAGACAGCUUACUGGACCACUUCUGACGCUGAGACACGAAAGCGUGGGUAGCAAAUAGG